UACCAUACAGUGGGGGAUAACCAGAAGAAAUUCUGGCUAAUACCGCAUACGAAGCACAAUUUUGAAAGUAGUGCUUGAAAGGAUGCUUCGGCAUUCGCUGAAUGAUGGGCCUGCGUAGCAUUAGUUUGAUGGUGGGGUAACGGCCUACCAUGACUACGAUGCUUAGCUGGUCUGAGAGGAUGUUCAGCCACGCUGGAACUGAGACACGGUCCAG
RNAcentral lists this ribosomal RNA (214 nucleotides) under uncultured bacterium. RNAcentral describes it as "partial 16S ribosomal RNA". It matches the Rfam family "Bacterial small subunit ribosomal RNA", at positions 127 to 334 of the family's 1533-position model. The record is from RNAcentral.